GAGCAACUUAGGAUUUUGGGCUCCCCGGCGCAUCUCGAACUAUGCCGGGCCAAACCCACGGGGGCUGGCGGUCCCCGUGCGGUCAAAAUCAAACCGCUGGAG
RNAcentral lists this non-coding RNA (102 nucleotides) under uncultured Faecalibacterium sp. RNAcentral's name for it is "PreQ1-III riboswitch". It matches the Rfam family "PreQ1-III (pre queuosine) riboswitch aptamer". The record is from RNAcentral. Lineage: Bacteria; Bacillati; Bacillota; Clostridia; Eubacteriales; Oscillospiraceae.